CGCCUCCCCAACCCCCCUCAACCAACAAAUCCACCGCCGCCCCCCCUGCCGCGCGCGCGCCCUCCCUGACUCCUGCGCAGCCGCCACCGGGAGGGAGGGGGGAGGGGGCAGGCUCUGCGCGAGGCCUACUAGGCCGCGCCGGAGCCAGGGCCUCGCGUGAAUGCCCGGGCAGGCAGAGUGAAGUAGUAGACGCUCAUGCGGGUCUACGAGAGGCCGAGGCUCCAGAAUAGGGCCGGAGUCCGCCAAGAAGGAUGUCACGAGUGGAAGAAGAAGCUAUUGCCGGCGGCGGAGCAGAAGAUUUUAAGCUUACCUGGAGGCGCGAGUCGACUGAGGGGAAAAGGGGAGCGGGCGGGAAGGGGAAGGGCGGGAGGCCGGGGGCGGAACAAUAGGGGCGGGCGGGAAGGCGAGGGGGGCCCCGCUAGCGGGCGGAGGAGGGGGGGGUGAGGAGGAGGAAGGGGGAGAGAGACCCCGGGGCGGGUGGAGGGCGGCGGAGGGCGGGCGGGCGGGCGGAGGGCGGGCGGGCGGGAGAGGGCGCAGGCUGCGGCUGCUCCGGCUGCUGCCUCUGCUGGUCUGGGAGGGGGACGGGGCGGAGCGGGCCGCUUUCAACCCCGCGCACCCUUCGACCCCGGAAGCGCUAACCGCCCCGGGGGCCGGCGAGUCGACUGCGUCGUCCACACUUUCCCCACGCAAUGCGGACCGCCUUCCCGGAGCCUAGAGCGGCUCCUUGGACAGCGUCGGCACCAGCGAGACGGCCAGUAACCAGCGGCGAGGUCUGAGAUAGAGCGGCAGCGCAGAGGCGCGGAGGAUACCAGUGGCCUCUAGCGGAAGAACUGGAAAGCUCAGGCCUAAAUACGAAGAGGAACGAAAGAACAAGUUAAACAUCAGUACAAGAAGGUACUCUGUGGCCAAGCACAGUGUGUGAUACAAGCUGAUACCAUUGGGGAACUUAAGGAUGACAAAGGUGAACCUCAGGCCACCUUGGACUGUAGAGCAACGCUGCUUUAUUGUUGCCUGUUGCUCCUUAAAAAAAAAAAAAAAAAAAAAAAAAAAAGACAUCUUGAAAACACAGAAUUUUGUACACAACACAAGACAACUAUCCUGGUGUCUUUAAAAAGGCAAUAAACCUUUUUUUAAACGGUU
Long non-coding RNA from Mus musculus (house mouse), 1140 nucleotides. RefSeq annotates it as predicted gene, 36331. The transcript is spliced from 2 exons. Lineage: Eukaryota; Metazoa; Chordata; Mammalia; Rodentia; Muridae. The record is from RefSeq and is a predicted model, not a curated record.